GAAUCCAUAGGUUAAUGAGGCGAACCGGGGGAACGGAAACAUCUAAGUACCCCGAGGAAAAGGAACCAACCGGGAUUCCCCCAGUAGCGGCGGGCGAACGGGGAGGAGCCCAGGGCCUGAAUCAGCAUAUGUGUUAGUGGAAGCGUCUGGAAAGGCGCGCGAUACAGGGUGACAGCCCCGUACACAAAAGCGCAUGUGCUGUGAGCUCGAUGAGUAGGGCGGGACACGUGGUAUCCUGUCUGAAUAUGGGGGGACCAUCCUCCAAGGCUAAAUACUCCUGACUGACCGAUAGUGAACCAGUACCGUGAGGGAAAGGCGAAAAGAACCCCGGCGAGGGGAGUGAAAAAGAACCUGAAACCGUGUACGUACAAGCAGUGGGAGCACCCUUUGGGGUGUGACUGCGUACCUUUUGGAUAAUGG
RNAcentral lists this ribosomal RNA (420 nucleotides) under Salmonella enterica subsp. enterica serovar Schwarzengrund. Its description in RNAcentral is "bacterial LSU rRNA". It matches the Rfam family "Bacterial large subunit ribosomal RNA", at positions 160 to 618 of the family's 2925-position model. Lineage: Bacteria; Pseudomonadati; Pseudomonadota; Gammaproteobacteria; Enterobacterales; Enterobacteriaceae. The record is from RNAcentral.